CCCUCUCAUGCUUUCUUUGCUCUCUUUUCCUAUCAGCUGGUGGAAUAUAGAGAGCUGGGAGGACCUGGUGUGGGUGUUCUCUUCAUCUCCUGGGUACACGGCUGGAUGAUAUUUCCUGGAUUUUAGUGUAGUUAGGUGUGGCCAAGCUUUGGCCAGUGGAAUUUGAACAGAAGUCACGUGUCCAAAUCCCAUGCCUGGUCUAUAAAAUCUUCCCAUCCGUAAUCUUCCUGCUUUCUUUACUCACUGAAUAGAUAAAAAUUCCAGGGACCUGGAAGAGUGUAGGGCCACAAGCUGGAAGUAGCCUAGAUCCCGAGGAACAUCAUGGAAAACAGUGCCCUCACCCCUUCCCGUGAGCCGACCAGGAGGCAACACAACUACACACUGUGUGAACUGAACCUCAGAUACCACUGGCCUGUCACCAACAGAUUUUGAAGCAAAUGAUGUGAUUGUUCACCGAUUAUCAGUGCAUCUGUUAUUUACAUAGUGAUUUGUGAACUGACAAGUUAGCAGCAGUUUCUGCUUUAUGCAAUUGUUCUGUUAAUAGACUGUGAUUGUGGUAAUUAUCUCUGGACAUUGAAAUGACCGGAUUGGGGCGUGCUCCACGGACCACUCCUGGAACACAUUGCAGAGGAGAGGAUUGUGUCUCUGGAACUCUUCUCCUUUGUAAGUUGAAUUAAUCUGAAUGAAUAAUUCUUCACUAGAAGAAACAGAUCCUGCUGAAUGAAAGCACAUAAUGGAGCCCUAGGGGUGAUCUGAGAAACAACUAUAAUUAUCUCUUCUCUGCUUACUGCCAUACUUAGGAAGGAGUCUUUGGACUAGGCAGAAAGUGAUCAAUUUCCUCUCAUAUUACCCUCAACCUGCGGCCUAUUUGUACUCCUGAUUGGAUAAAAGGGUUAAGAAGAACAAAAUGGUUGGAGAGAUUUUUGAAUUUUUAUGAUAAUUAUUUGGUGUCCCAGGAUCUACUGAAUGUCUCAAGAGAGGAACUUUUUUCCACUUCACAAAUUCUAAUUUUUGACUUGAUAAAGAAUGAUGAAUAUUUGUCACACAGAUAUUUAAAUGGAAUCAGGGCUGUAUAUAACCAUGACAUAAUACUUUGUCAAAAAGUGAAAAGUUAAUCUGGUUGAAGGUAUUUUUACCUGGCAUAUGGAGAAGAUGAUGACAAUAAUGUGGAACUUGAUUAGACAUCAACAGAGACUCAAUGCCUCCUGGAAAACACCUGAGAAAUGAUUGAAGCUCGCUCUGGUCUUGCCUGGAAUCAUGCAUAACAUUUGUUGCUGCCUGCAUGUGGAUUCAUUUUAGCAGUUUAUCAAUUUGGACAGGGAAUUUUGAAUAAAAAAUUUUGGCAGUCAUUAUAGUGACUCUUCUGAGACUGAAAAUUCAGGUAACAAGGAAAAUCAGUGACUCUUUCUCUCUGCUUUCUUCAAAACACAAAUAAUCCAAUGAUGUAUAGGCUGCAUUGCCCUUUGAUUUGUUACCUUAGAGAUCAUUACAUGUUAGUACAUAAAGAAACUUCCCAAUCUUCUUUUAUAGCAUCCAGGUACUCCAAUGUGUAAUUCAGCCAUAACUUAAUAAAAUGGACUCUGUUUGAUAAACAUUUGGAUUAUUUCAAAUAUUUUACUAUUAUAAAGAAUGUUGAA
RNAcentral lists this long non-coding RNA (1637 nucleotides) under Homo sapiens (human). Its description in RNAcentral is "HSALNT0137817". Lineage: Eukaryota; Metazoa; Chordata; Mammalia; Primates; Hominidae. The record is from RNAcentral.